Molecule: transfer RNA, 82 nt
Filed under: Candidatus Gottesmanbacteria bacterium
Lineage: Bacteria; Candidatus Gottesmaniibacteriota
Description: tRNA-Leu
Rfam family: tRNA
About the family: Transfer RNA (tRNA) molecules are approximately 80 nucleotides in length. Their secondary structure includes four short double-helical elements and three loops (D, anti-codon, and T loops).
Source: RNAcentral
GCCUCUGUGGCGGAACUGGUAUACGCGUACGCUUUAGGAGCGUAUCCCGUAAGGGUUGGAGGUUCAAAUCCUCCCAGAGGCA